CGUGUAGGCGGUUUAAUAAGUCAGAUGUAAAGCCCCGGCUCAACCGGGGAUGGUCAUUUGAAACUGUUAGGCUUGAGUGCGAGAGAGGGUAGUGGAAUUCCCAGUGUAGCGGUGAAAUGCGUAGAUAUUGGGAAGAACACCAGUAGCGAAGGCGGCUACCUGGCUCGCAACUGACGCUAAGGCGCGAAAGCGUGGGGAGCAAACA
Molecule: ribosomal RNA, 205 nt
Filed under: uncultured bacterium
Lineage: Bacteria
Description: partial 16S ribosomal RNA
Rfam family: Bacterial small subunit ribosomal RNA
Source: RNAcentral